GAUGAACGCUGGCGGCGUGCUUAACACAUGCAAGUCGAACGGAAAGGCUCCAGCUUGCUGGAGUCCUCGAGUGGCUAACGGGUGAGUAACACGUGGGUGAUCUGCCCUGCACUUCGGGAUAAGCCUGGGAAACUGGGUCUAAUACCGGAUAGGACCGCACUUUGGUGUGUGUGGUGGAAAGGUUUUUCUGGUGUGGGAUGAGCUCGCGGCCUAUCAGUUUGUUGGUGGGGUAAUGGCCUACCAAGACGGCGACGGGUAGCCGGCCUGAGAGGGUGGACGGUCACAUUGGGACUGAGAUACGGCCCAGACUCCUACGGGAGGCAGCAGUGGGGAAUAUUGCACAAUGGGGGAAACCCUGAUGCAGCGACGCCGCGUGGGGGAUGAAGGCCUUCGGGUUGUAAACUCCUUUCGCUAGGGACGAAGCUUUUUGUGACGGUACCUGGAGAAGAAGCACCGGCUAACUACGUG
This 468-nucleotide ribosomal RNA is filed under the name uncultured bacterium. RNAcentral describes it as "partial 16S ribosomal RNA". It matches the Rfam family "Bacterial small subunit ribosomal RNA", at positions 28 to 507 of the family's 1533-position model. The record is from RNAcentral.